GACGAACGCUGGCGGCGUGCCUAAUACAUGCAAGUAGAACGCUGAAGGAGGAGCUUGCUUCUCUGGAUGAGUUGCGAACGGGUGAGUAACGCGUAGGUAACCUGCCUGGUAGCGGGGGAUAACUAUUGGAAACGAUAGCUAAUACCGCAUAAGAGUAGAUGUUGCAUGACAUUUGCUUAAAAGGUGCAAUUGCAUCACUACCAGAUGGACCUGCGUUGUAUUAGCUAGUUGGUGGGGUAACGGCUCACCAAGGCGACGAUACAUAGCCGACCUGAGAGGGUGAUCGGCCACACUGGGACUGAGACACGGCCCAGACUCCUACGGGAGGCAGCAGUAGGGAAUCUUCGGCAAUGGACGGAAGUCUGACCGAGCAACGCCGCGUGAGUGAAGAAGGUUUUCGGAUCGUAAAGCUCUGUUGUAAGAGAAGAACGAGUGUGAGAGUGGAAAGUUCACACUGUGACGGUAUCUUACCAGAAAGGGACGGCUAACUACGUGCCAGCAGCCGCGGUAAUACGUAGGCCCCGAGCGUUGUCCGGAUUUAUUGGGCGUAAAGCGAGCGCAGGCGGUUAGAUAAGUCUGAAGUUAAAGGCUGUGGCUUAACCAUAGUACGCUUUGGAAACUGUUUAACUUGAGUGCAAGAGGGGAGAGUGGAAUUCCAUGUGUAGCGGUGAAAUGCGUAGAUAUAUGGAGGAACACCGGUGGCGAAAGCGGCUCUCUGGCUUGUAACUGACGCUGAGGCUCGAAAGCGUGGGGAGCAAACAGG
This 763-nucleotide ribosomal RNA is filed under the name uncultured Streptococcus sp. RNAcentral's name for it is "bacterial SSU rRNA". It matches the Rfam family "Bacterial small subunit ribosomal RNA", at positions 28 to 776 of the family's 1533-position model. The record is from RNAcentral. Lineage: Bacteria; Bacillati; Bacillota; Bacilli; Lactobacillales; Streptococcaceae.